RNAcentral lists this ribosomal RNA (1440 nucleotides) under uncultured organism. RNAcentral describes it as "SSU rRNA". It matches the Rfam family "Bacterial small subunit ribosomal RNA". The record is from RNAcentral.
UCUAGCUACAGGCUUAACACAUGCAAGUCGAGGGGCAUCAGGAAGAAAGCUUGCUUUCUUUGCUGGCGACCGGCGCACGGGUGAGUAACACGUAUCCAACCUGCCCUUUACUCGGGGAUAGCCUUUCGAAAGAAAGAUUAAUACCCGAUAGCAUAAUGAUUCCGCAUGGUUUCAUUAUUAAAGGAUUCCGGUAAAGGAUGGGGAUGCGUUCCAUUAGGUUGUUGGUGAGGUAACGGCCCACCAAGCCUUCGAUGGAUAGGGGUUCUGAGAGGAAGGUCCCCCACAUUGGAACUGAGACACGGUCCAAACUCCUACGGGAGGCAGCAGUGAGGAAUAUUGGUCAAUGGGCGCUAGCCUGAACCAGCCAAGUAGCGUGAAGGAUGAAGGCUCUAUGGGUCGUAAACUUCUUUUAUAUAAGAAUAAAGUGCAGUAUGUAUACUGUUUUGUAUGUAUUAUAUGAAUAAGGAUCGGCUAACUCCGUGCCAGCAGCCGCGGUAAUACGGAGGAUCCGAGCGUUAUCCGGAUUUAUUGGGUUUAAAGGGAGCGUAGGUGGACUGGUAAGUCAGUUGUGAAAGUUUGCGGCUCAACCGUAAAAUUGCAGUUGAUACUGUCAGUCUUGAGUACAGUAGAGGUGGGCGGAAUUCGUGGUGUAGCGGUGAAAUGCUUAGAUAUCACGAAGGACUCCGAUUGCGAAGGCAGCUCACUGGACUGCAACUGACACUGAUGCUCGAAAGUGUGGGUAUCAAACAGGAUUAGAUACCCUGGUAGUCCACACAGUAAACGAUGAAUACUCGCUGUUUGCGAUAUACAGUAAGCGGCCAAGCGAAAGCAUUAAGUAUUCCACCUGGGGAGUACGCCGGCAACGGUGAAACUCAAAGGAAUUGACGGGGGCCCGCACAAGCGGAGGAACAUGUGGUUUAAUUCGAUGAUACGCGAGGAACCUUACCCGGGCUUAAAUUGCAGUGGAAUGAUGUGGAAACAUGUCAGUGAGCAAUCACCGCUGUGAAGGUGCUGCAUGGUUGUCGUCAGCUCGUGCCGUGAGGUGUCGGCUUAAGUGCCAUAACGAGCGCAACCCUUAUCUUUAGUUACUAACAGGUUAUGCUGAGGACUCUAGAGAGACUGCCGUCGUAAGAUGUGAGGAAGGUGGGGAUGACGUCAAAUCAGCACGGCCCUUACGUCCGGGGCUACACACGUGUUACAAGGGGGGGUACAGAAGGCAGCUAGCGGGUGACCGUAUGCUAAUCCCAAAAUCCUCUCUCAGUUCGGAUCGAAGUCUGCAACCCGACUUCGUGAAGCUGGAUUCGCUAGUAAUCGCGCAUCAGCCACGGCGCGGUGAAUACGUUCCCGGGCCUUGUACACACCGCCCGUCAAGCCAUGGGAGCCGGGGGUACCUGAAGUACGUAACCGCAAGGAUCGUCCUAGGGUAAAACUGGUGACUGG